This 253-nucleotide ribosomal RNA is filed under the name uncultured bacterium. RNAcentral's name for it is "partial 16S ribosomal RNA". It matches the Rfam family "Bacterial small subunit ribosomal RNA", at positions 524 to 776 of the family's 1533-position model. The record is from RNAcentral.
UACGUAGGGUGCAAGCGUUAUUCGGAAUUACUGGGCGUAAAGCGUGCGAAGGCGGCUUUGCAAGACAGAUGUGAAAUCCCCGGGCUUAACCUGGGAACUGCAUUUGUGACUGCAGGGCUGGAGUGCGGCAGAGGGGGAUGGAAUUCCGCGUGUAGCAGUGAAAUGCGUAGAUAUGCGGAGGAACACCGAUGGCGAAGGCAAUCCCCUGGGCCUGCACUGACGCUCAUGCACGAAAGCGUGGGGAGCAAACAGG